AGAGGGCAUGUCAAGGCCAAAGCUUUUCUUUAAACUCUCAGCAUCACCGGUGUACACUCAGCAGUAGGAAAAUUUGACUUACUCAGGCUGCCAGUUAGAAGAGGACAGUUUCUUUCCUGUUACAGUUUAGCUCUAGGCUGCGACCUUGAAAAGUCCUCCAACUGCUCAGGCAUGUUCUUUAAUAAACAUCUUUGCUAUGUGACUGGACCUUCGGGCGUGGAUGGGGCAAAUGAAAGCAGCUCUUCAAGACCCUGUGAGGAGUGGUGCGGGGAACGAGGAAGGUGCUGAUAUUUACCGAGCAUCUAUUGUCUCAUCUAAUCCAGGUUCCAUUGCCCUUAAAAUGGAUAUACCAGGUUUAUUCCAUUACUUUGGGCCCCUGCUCCUCCCCCCGCUACCGUGAAGAACGCUCAGUUUGAGAAGUCCAGAAUGAGCUCCACAGAUUGGACGUGACAG
Equus quagga is the source of this 453-nucleotide long non-coding RNA. RefSeq lists it as uncharacterized. NCBI's taxonomy places the organism in Eukaryota, Metazoa, Chordata, Mammalia, Perissodactyla, Equidae. The transcript is spliced from 2 exons. The record is from RefSeq and is a predicted model, not a curated record.